CCUACGGGGGCAGCAGUGGGGAAUAUUGGACAAUGGGCGAAAGCCUGAUCCAGCCAUGCCGCGUGUGUGAAGAAGGCCUUCGGGUUGUAAAGCACUUUCAGUGGGGAAGAAAGCCUUGGGGCUAAUACCCUCGAGGAAGGACAUCACCCACAGAAGAAGCACCGGCUAACUCCGUGCCAGCAGCCGCGGUAAUACGGAGGGUGCGAGCGUUAAUCGGAAUUACUGGGCGUAAAGCGCGCGUAGGCGGUCUGAUAAGCCGGUUGUGAAAGCCCCGGGCUCAACCUGGGAACGGCAUCCGGAACUGUCACGCUAGAGUGCAGGAGAGGAAGGUAGAAUUCACGGUGUAGCGGUGAAAUGCGUAGAGAUCGGGAGGAAUACCAGUGGCGAAGGCGGCCUUCUGGACUGACACUGACGCUGAGGUGCGAAAGCGUGGGUAGCAAACAGGAUUAGAUACCCCAGUAGUC
This 464-nucleotide ribosomal RNA is filed under the name Vreelandella stevensii. Its description in RNAcentral is "partial 16S ribosomal RNA". It matches the Rfam family "Bacterial small subunit ribosomal RNA", at positions 338 to 795 of the family's 1533-position model. Lineage: Bacteria; Pseudomonadati; Pseudomonadota; Gammaproteobacteria; Oceanospirillales; Halomonadaceae. The record is from RNAcentral.